This 944-nucleotide long non-coding RNA is filed under the name Mytilus galloprovincialis (Mediterranean mussel). Lineage: Eukaryota; Metazoa; Mollusca; Bivalvia; Mytilida; Mytilidae. The record is from RNAcentral.
GUAUGAUUAAACUAUGUCUUACUCAAUCAACUCACUCAACUACAUGAUAUUUGAAUGUAGUUACGAAUCAUGAGCCUUCUGCACAUUUAUAAAAAGUAAAUCUUGUCUUAACUACAAAAUGUAGCAAAAGAAGAAAUAAUAUGCAACUAAUACAAACGAUGAUAUAGAUUAGUACUGGUUGUUCUGGCAUGCCUGUUGAAAAGAAUAAAAACAUGAAUUAAAUGCAUGGUUUACUUAAUACAAUUGUAUGUUUAAAUUAUACAAUUCUUUUUACACAUUAUUUCAAUCAAUUAAAAUCCCCAUAAUAACAAGGUUAUAAAACCAGAAACUAGUGAAACGAUAAAAACGUUUCCAGAAAAUGCCUAAGCAUGCAUAUGUCUGUAUCCACCCAACAGGGAGAAUAUCAUAUUUCUACCCAUUGAAAUGCAUACUAGUCUCGGCUUUCUUAAUUUUGCCUUUAAUUGGGUAGGCAUUUAUUUACCCUUCGUUUCUGUUAUUCGAAAUAUUUGGAUGCCACUUUUUUUUUUAAAUAAAAUAGUUGCCAAUUUUCUAACAAGUAAUAAUCAACGCGCUUUUGGCAUGUUUAGAACCCUUGCAAUAUUGUUUUAGUGAUCCUUAGGUGGUCUGUAUAGCAAGGUUAAGUCCUUUCCAUAUCCAAUAUACUCUACCUUUUUUAACUGGAAUUAGUAUUUUUCGCCAUUCAUUCAUUUUGAUUCGCUAUUGGGGGAGUCAACUUAAUUGUUGAUAAUAUUUGAACAAAGAAUAUUGGGUAUCCAUGCAUGACACAAAAUCAGUACAUGCACAGAAAAAAACCCACAUAAAAGCAAAAGAGCAGCUCUUGACUGAGAACAAAGUCCGCGGUCGAUGUGCUUUCUAUAUAUAGCUAGGUCAUUAUAACAUCGUAUUGAUCUCAACCAAAGGCCAUAAUUGUUAUAUAAUUUAUC